UGGGGAAUAUUGGACAAUGGGGGCAACCCUGAUCCAGCCAUGCCGCGUGAGUGAUGAAGGCCUUCGGGUUGUAAAGCUCUUUUGGCGGGGACGAUGAUGACGGUACCCGCAGAAUAAGCCCCGGCUAACUUCGUGCCAGCAGCCGCGGUAAGACGAAGGGGGCAAGCGUUGUUCGGAAUUACUGGGCGUAAAGGGCGCGUAGGCGGUUUGCUUAGUCAGGCGUGAAAGCCCUGGGCUUAACCUGGGAUGUGCGCUUGAUACUGGCAGGCUUGAGUGUGGGAGAGGUUGGUAGAAUUCCCAGUGUAGAGGUGAAAUUCGUAGAUAUUGGGAAGAACACCGGUGGCGAAGGCGGCCAACUGGACCACAACUGACGCUGAGGCGCGAAAGCGUGGGGAGCAAACA
RNAcentral lists this ribosomal RNA (402 nucleotides) under uncultured bacterium. Its description in RNAcentral is "bacterial SSU rRNA". It matches the Rfam family "Bacterial small subunit ribosomal RNA", at positions 355 to 774 of the family's 1533-position model. The record is from RNAcentral.